AUGGCUGUCCUGACACCUUGUAGGCCCAUUGCUGGUUCAUUCAGUUAAGGAAAGGGAGUCUCUUUUUACUUCAUCUCCCUGACCUACAAUGCCUCUUCCCUUAUUAGAGCCGGAAUGGUUGGAAUGGUUUCCAAGACUCCUCUUGCCUCGGGCCAGAAGCAGGUGGAGCCCAGAUAAGAAAUCCACACCUCCCAUCUCUUCAAUUCCAGCCGGUGCUGUCCUCCCUGCCAUUGGUCUUGAACUGCAAGGCUGGUGUAGCUGUUUGGUGUUGCUGGGGGCCGGCUGCAGCUCAGUAAGAUGUUACCAUGAGAAGAGGAGAAAACAGACCAGAGUGUGAGCUGCAGAGAUAGUUUCCUCCAUGAGCUCCUUAGACGGAAUCUUUCCAGAGCCUCAUGGAUCUGACUCUUGAGUGGGAUGACAAAGGAGCAGAUAACUUCAUUCUCCACUGUGGGAGUAGAUCAUGCCUGAUCUGGGGCAACAAGUCAGGGAUUCCUUCCUUUGGCUUCUCUUAUUGAUCGAGGUCUGUGAUUGGAGCCCACCUGACAAAUGGAGGAAAAGACUUAUACUCAGUGCUUGAGGUAGACCCUUGUCUCUCUGUCUUACUAGACAUGAACAACAGAGCUCACAGCUCCAAUUUCACUGACACCAUCGGAUGACUACGGGGCAAUCACCGUUAAGAUGAAGUUGGUGUUGAGGGAGGCGGGGAGGAAAGAGAAAGAAACAUAG
Canis lupus familiaris (dog) is the source of this 726-nucleotide long non-coding RNA. RefSeq lists it as uncharacterized. The record is from RefSeq and is a predicted model, not a curated record. The transcript has 3 exons. NCBI's taxonomy places the organism in Eukaryota, Metazoa, Chordata, Mammalia, Carnivora, Canidae.